AUACGGAGGAUCCGAGCGUUAUCCGGAUUUAUUGGGUUUAAAGGGUGCGCAGGCGGCCAUUUAAGUCAGCGGUUAAAUCGUGGGGCUCAACCCCAUUCUGCCGUUGAUACUGGGUGGCUGGAUUGCGGUCGAGGUUGGCGGAAUUCGUUGUGUAGCGGUGAAAUGCAUAGAUAUGACGAAGAACACCGAUUGCGUAGGCAGCUGACCAGACCGCAAAUGACGCUCAUGCACGAAAGUGCGGGGAUCGAACAGGAUUAGAUACCCUGGUAGUCCGCACAGUAAACGAUGAAUACUUGUUUUCGGCGAUAUAAUGUCGGAGGCAAAGCGAAAGCGAUAAGUAUUCCACCUGGGGAGUACGCCGGCAACGGUGAAACUCAAAUGAAUUGACGGGG
Molecule: ribosomal RNA, 392 nt
Filed under: uncultured bacterium
Lineage: Bacteria
Description: partial 16S ribosomal RNA
Rfam family: Bacterial small subunit ribosomal RNA
Source: RNAcentral